AUGAUCUUAAAGUCUCUGUUCAUAGUACUGCUUUCCACUACAUAUUUAGCCAAAGUAGUUCAUGUAGCUUCGGGGGUCAGCUUUUGUUUGAUUUGUAUAUAUGGUGACCCGUACCAUAGGCAAACUAGUGCCAUCUGGGAUCAAGUUUCUACUUUUGUGUAUGAUAAUCUGGGUAUCCCCAUGAUGUGUUUGGGGGACUUGAAUGACAUCCUGUAUGAUAUUGAUGGUUGUAAUGGCUAUGUGAAUUACUAUCGUAUGCAUGCUUUCCGUUCCCUUGUCAAAAAUUGUGGUUUGUUUGAUAUUGGUUAUUGUGGUCCAGCCUAUACUUGGCGCGGUAGACAACACACUUCUAAUCCUAUUUAUAGACGCCUUGACCAUUGUUUAGUUAAUUCUGAGUGGUGCAUGCAUUACCCUAAUACCAAAGUUCUUAAUCUGCCUAUUAUUUUGAGUGAUCAUGCCCCCAUUUUGGUGUCUACUGAAGGUAAUUUUGUCAAGCCUCGGCAAACUUUCAAAUUUGAAAAUUGGUGGUUGAUGGAGAAAGAUUUUCAUGCCUUUGCUAAAUCUGCCUGGAAUGCUAGUCCCUCACAUUCUUUUGCAGCAAAGUCCUCUUCUUUGGCAGGGUCUUUGAAAAUGUGGUGCAAGAAGAAGAAGCCUCUUCAGAAUGAUCUUUUGGAAUUGGAAGCUCGUAUCAAUCAACUGCAGCAACUUCCUUUACAGCAACAGGACCAUAAUUUGGAAACUUCUCUCACUACUAGAUUCUGA
RNAcentral lists this ribosomal RNA (762 nucleotides) under Triticum aestivum (bread wheat). RNAcentral's name for it is "partial small subunit ribosomal RNA". Lineage: Eukaryota; Viridiplantae; Streptophyta; Magnoliopsida; Poales; Poaceae. The record is from RNAcentral.